AUGAAAUUGAUCUUCUCGUGAAGAAGCGAGAAUAUUAUUAUUAGACGAGAAGACCCCAUGGAGCUUUAAACUUAUUACCAAUUACUUAACCGCUAAACCAUAAUAUGUAGUAAAAAUGUUCUUAAUAGUUUUCGGCUGGGGUGGCCCUGGAGUAAAAUAAACCCUCCAGAAUGAACGGAAUAAGACCCUAAUCUAAGAAUUACAGCUCAAAGAAUCAAAAAACUGACAUUAUUGAUCCAAUUAAUUGAUUAACGAAACAAGUUACCCUGGGGAUAACAGCGCAAUCCAUUUUGAGAGCCCCUAUCAACAAAUGGGUUUACGACCUCGAUGUUGGAUCGGGGUAUCCCGGUGGCGCAGCCGCUACUAAUGGUUCGUUUGUUCAACGAUUAACAACCCCACGUGAUCUGAGUUCAAACNNGA
RNAcentral lists this ribosomal RNA (420 nucleotides) under Afrixalus fornasini (leaf-folding frog). RNAcentral's name for it is "partial large subunit ribosomal RNA". It matches the Rfam family "Bacterial large subunit ribosomal RNA", at positions 2036 to 2620 of the family's 2925-position model. Lineage: Eukaryota; Metazoa; Chordata; Amphibia; Anura; Hyperoliidae. The record is from RNAcentral.